ACUCCUACGGGAGGCAGCAGUGGGGAAUUUUGGACAAUGGGCGAAAGCCUGAUCCAGCCAUGCCGCGUGCAGGAUGAAGGCCUUCGGUUGUAAACUGCUUUUGUACGGAACGAAACGGCCUUUUCUAAUAAAGAGGGCUAAUGACGGUACCGUAAGAAUAAGCACCGGCUAACUACGUGCCAGCAGCCGCGGUAAUACGUAGGGGUGCAAGCGUUAAUCGGAAUUACUGGGCGUAAAGCGUGCGCAGGCGGUUAUGUAAGACAGUUGUGAAAUCCCCGGGGCUCAACCUGGGGAACUGCAUCUGUGACUGCAUAGCUAGAGUACGGUAGAGGGGGAUGGAAUUCCGCGUGUAGCAGUGAAAUGCGUAGAUAUGCGGAGGAACACCGAUGGCGAAGGCAAUCCCCUGGACCUGUACUGACGCUCAUGCACGAAAGCGUGGGGAGCAAACAGGAUUAGAUACCCUGGUAGGAUAGCG
RNAcentral lists this ribosomal RNA (475 nucleotides) under uncultured bacterium. RNAcentral's name for it is "bacterial SSU rRNA". It matches the Rfam family "Bacterial small subunit ribosomal RNA", at positions 335 to 799 of the family's 1533-position model. The record is from RNAcentral.